Neltuma alba is the source of this 150-nucleotide long non-coding RNA. RefSeq lists it as uncharacterized. The transcript has 3 exons. Lineage: Eukaryota; Viridiplantae; Streptophyta; Magnoliopsida; Fabales; Fabaceae. The record is from RefSeq and is a predicted model, not a curated record.
CAAUUUGACAACUAAAUUAGCUAAGUCGCUCUUCAUAUUGUGCUCUAUGUUUCCUGAGGAUCAUGAAAUCCAUAUAGAGGAUUUAAUUCGUUUUGGCAAAGGGACUCUUAAGCUUGGUGAAAGAAUUUACACAAUGGAGAAAACAAGGAA